Molecule: ribosomal RNA, 756 nt
Filed under: uncultured eukaryote
Lineage: Eukaryota
Description: SSU rRNA
Rfam family: Eukaryotic small subunit ribosomal RNA
Source: RNAcentral
AAACGAUGCCAACCAGUAAUCCGUCUGAGUUCCUUAAAUGACUCGACGGGCGACUUCCGGGAAACCAAAGUUUUUAGGUUCCAGGGGAAGUAUGUUUGCAAAGAUGAAACUUAAAGAAAUUGACGGAAGGGCACCACCAGGAGUGGAGCCUGCGGCUUAAUUUGACUCAACACGGGAAAACUCACCCGGCCCGGACACUGGAAGGAUUGACAGAUUGAGAGCUCUUUCUUGAUUCAGUGGGUGGUGGUGCAUGGCCGUUCUUAGUUGGUGGAGCGAUUUGUCUGGUUAAUUCCGAUAACGAACGAGACUCUAGCCUACUAAAUAGAUCGUCGGCUUACAAACGCUGAUGAGACUUCUUAGAGGGACAGGCGGCGAUUCAGCCGCACGAAACAGAGCAAUAACAGGUCUGUGAUGCCCUUAGAUGUCCGGGGCCGCACGCGCGCUACACUGAAGUGAUCAGCGUGCAUUUUCAGCCUACUCUGCCAAGAGUGGGAAACCCAAUGAACCUUCUUCGUGAUUGGGAUAGGAGAUUGUAAUUAUUCUCCUUGAACGAGGAAUUCCCAGUAAGCGCGAGUCAUAAGCUCGCGUUGAUUACGUCCCUGCCCUUUGUACACACCGCCCGUCGCUACUACCGAUUGAAUGUUUUAGUGAGGUCUUCAGACUGGCCGGCGCAGCUGCUCUCGUAGUAGCAGCGCUGUGUUUGGGAAGAUGCCCAAACUUGAACAUUUAGAGGAAAGUAAAGUCGUAACAAGGUUU